Molecule: ribosomal RNA, 253 nt
Filed under: uncultured bacterium
Lineage: Bacteria
Description: partial 16S ribosomal RNA
Rfam family: Bacterial small subunit ribosomal RNA
Source: RNAcentral
UACAGAGGUCUCAAGCGUUGUUCGGAUUCAUUGGGCGUAAAGGGUGCGUAGGUGGCGCCGUAAGUCAGGUGUGAAAUCUCGGGGCUCAACCCCGAAACUGCACUUGAUACUGCGGUGCUCGAGUACUGGAGAGGAGAUUGGAAUUUACGGUGUAGCAGUGAAAUGCGUAGAGAUCGUAAGGAAGACCAGUGGCGAAGGCGGGUCUCUGGGCAGUAACUGACGCUGAGGAGCGAAAGCGUGGGGAGCGAACAGG